This 1108-nucleotide long non-coding RNA is filed under the name Notechis scutatus (mainland tiger snake). Its description in RNAcentral is "lncRNA (ENSNSUG00000020057.1)". Lineage: Eukaryota; Metazoa; Chordata; Lepidosauria; Squamata; Elapidae. The record is from RNAcentral.
GCAGACAUUUUUGUACCACAUCUUCUCUGUUGAUGAUCAUUUCGUCUGGAAGAAUUAGCCCUUAGUGAAUAAUCCCCAGCGAGGUUUAUGGGUUAUAAGAAUCUCUCUCUCUCUCUCUCUCUCCUCUCUCUCUCCUCUCUGUCUUUUUCUCUCUCUCCUCUCUCCCCCUCUCUCUUCCCUCUCUCUUCCCUCUCUNNNNNNNNNNCCUCUCUCUUCCCUCUCUCUCCUCUCUCCCCCUCUCUCUUCCCUCUCCCUCUCCGUCCCUCCCUCUCUCUCCCCCUCUCUCUUCUCUCUCUCUCUCCCUCCUCUCUCUCUCCCCCUCUCUUUUCUCUUCUUUCUCUCUCCUUUCUCCUUUCUCUCUUCUCUCUUCUCUCUCCCUCCUCUCUCUCUCUUCUCUCUCCCACUCUCUCUUUUCUCUCUCUUUUCAUUCUCUCUCCCUCCUCUCUCUCUCCCCCCUCUCUCACCUCUCUCGUCUCUCCCUUCUCUCUUCCCUCUCUCUCUCCCUCCCUCACUCUCUCUCCCACUCUCUCUUCUCUCUCUUUUCUCUCUCUCCCUCCUCUCCCCCCCUCUCUUUUCUCUUCUUUCUCUCUCCUCUCUCCCUUCUCUCUUCCCUCUCUCCCUCCCUCCCUCACUCUCUCUCCCACUCUCUCUUCUCCCUCUCUUCUCUCUCUCUCUCCCUCCUCUCUCUCCCCUCUCUUUUCUCUUCUUUCUCUCUCCUCUCUCCCUUCUCUCUCCUCUCUCUCUCCUCUCUCUCUUCUCUCUCUCUCCCUCCCUCACUCUCUCUCCCACUCUCUCUUCUCUCCCUCCCUCCCUCACUCUGUCUCCUCUUUCUCUCUUCUCUCUCCCUCUCCAAAAAAAAAAAAAAUCUCUUUUACAAAUAGGCUGGGGGUUGAAAAAAAAAUAGCACUGAUUCCCCCUCACCAAGCCCUAGUAAAACCGUGGCAUUGUUUAAAGCAGCUCCCAGGGAACGAAGGCGUCAGGCCCUCGCAAUCUGGAACAUUGUUUAAAUACCGUAAAAAAAAAAAUCCUUGGCUCAUUUAUACCCUCUGAACCCCAGAGAGAGAAAAAAAUGGCCGUGUAAAGCCGGCUGUAGCAGGUGGCACCUGCU